RNAcentral lists this ribosomal RNA (1444 nucleotides) under uncultured organism. RNAcentral describes it as "16S ribosomal RNA". It matches the Rfam family "Bacterial small subunit ribosomal RNA". The record is from RNAcentral.
ACGCUAGCUACAGGCUUAACACAUGCAAGUCGAGGGGCAGCAUGGUCUUAGCUUGCUAAGGCCGAUGGCGACCGGCGCACGGGUGAGUAACACGUAUCCAACCUGCCGUCUACUCUUGGACAGCCUUCUGAAAGGAAGAUUAAUACAAGAUGGCAUCAUGAGUCCGCAUGUUCACAUGAUUAAAGGUAUUCCGGUAGACGAUGGGGAUGCGUUCCAUUAGAUAGUAGGCGGGGUAACGGCCCACCUAGUCUUCGAUGGAUAGGGGUUCUGAGAGGAAGGUCCCCCACAUUGGAACUGAGACACGGUCCAAACUCCUACGGGAGGCAGCAGUGAGGAAUAUUGGUCAAUGGGCGAGAGCCUGAACCAGCCAAGUAGCGUGAAGGAUGACUGCCCUAUGGGUUGUAAACUUCUUUUAUAAAGGAAUAAAGUCGGGUAUGGAUACCCGUUUGCAUGUACUUUAUGAAUAAGGAUCGGCUAACUCCGUGCCAGCAGCCGCGGUAAUACGGAGGAUCCGAGCGUUAUCCGGAUUUAUUGGGUUUAAAGGGAGCGUAGAUGGAUGUUUAAGUCAGUUGUGAAAGUUUGCGGCUCAACCGUAAAAUUGCAGUUGAUACUGGAUAUCUUGAGUGCAGUUGAGGCAGGCGGAAUUCGUGGUGUAGCGGUGAAAUGCUUAGAUAUCACGAAGAACUCCGAUUGCGAAGGCAGCCUGCUAAGCUGCAACUGACAUUGAGGCUCGAAAGUGUGGGUAUCAAACAGGAUUAGAUACCCUGGUAGUCCACACGGUAAACGAUGAAUACUCGCUGUUUGCGAUAUACUGCAAGCGGCCAAGCGAAAGCGUUAAGUAUUCCACCUGGGGAGUACGCCGGCAACGGUGAAACUCAAAGGAAUUGACGGGGGCCCGCACAAGCGGAGGAACAUGUGGUUUAAUUCGAUGAUACGCGAGGAACCUUACCCGGGCUUAAAUUGCAGAUGAAUUACGGUGAAAGCCGUAAGCCGCAAGGCAUCUGUGAAGGUGCUGCAUGGUUGUCGUCAGCUCGUGCCGUGAGGUGUCGGCUUAAGUGCCAUAACGAGCGCAACCCUUGUUGUCAGUUACUAACAGGUUCCGCUGAGGACUCUGACAAGACUGCCAUCGUAAGAUGUGAGGAAGGUGGGGAUGACGUCAAAUCAGCACGGCCCUUACGUCCGGGGCUACACACGUGUUACAAUGGGGGGUACAGAGGGUCGCUACCACGCGAGUGGAUGCCAAUCCCCAAAACCUCUCUCAGUUCGGACUGGAGUCUGCAACCCGACUCCACGAAGCUGGAUUCGCUAGUAAUCGCGCAUCAGCCACGGCGCGGUGAAUACGUUCCCGGGCCUUGUACACACCGCCCGUCAAGCCAUGGGAGCCGGGGGUACCUGAAGUGCGUAACCGCGAGGAGCGCCCUAGGGUAAAACUGGUGACUGGGGC